UACAGAGGUCUCAAGCGUUGUUCGGAUUCAUUGGGCGUAAAGGGUGCGUAGGCGGCGCGGUAAGUCGGGUGUGAAAUCUCGGAGCUUAACUCCGAAACUGCAUUCGAUACUGCCGUGCUUGAGGACUGGAGAGGAGACUGGAAUUUACGGUGUAGCGGUGAAAUGCGUAGAUAUCGUAAGGAAGACCAGUGGCGAAGGCGGGUCUCUGGACAGUUCCUGACGCUGAGGCGCGAAGGCCAGGGGAGCAAACAGG
Molecule: ribosomal RNA, 253 nt
Filed under: uncultured bacterium
Lineage: Bacteria
Description: partial 16S ribosomal RNA
Rfam family: Bacterial small subunit ribosomal RNA
Source: RNAcentral